Paramuricea clavata is the source of this 507-nucleotide non-coding RNA. Lineage: Eukaryota; Metazoa; Cnidaria; Anthozoa; Malacalcyonacea; Plexauridae. The record is from the annotation of a GenBank genome assembly.
UGAAGAAGGCAAGCUGCCAAAUGUGUUGUAAUCGCUAAAAAACAUCCUUCAAACGCCGAUCAAGCCAUUUGUUUCCGCGGAUAACUCGGAUUUGGUCGAAGGACACGCGCCUUCCCCCUGCCCGCAUCCUGAUGACCUGCCUAUAAACUAUCAUCUAAAAACCAGUCCACAAAUGCAAUGGGAUGGAGUGAUUUUUGUUAGAAAUUUCUUCCCUUUUUCCUAACCUGCAUUCAUAAAAAUUCUAACAUUUUAGCGUUUCGUAACGACUCAUUUCUUUUCAAAACAAGAAUUUCAUCUGUUCUUACACUGCAGUAAACAAGCUUAGCCGACUACCAACUGUUGAAGCAAUAAACUAGAUAAAAAAUGACCGACUUAAAUUUUGUCUAAACUUAUCGCACAUUUGUAAAAUUAUACUUUGAGCCACCCACUUUCUCAACCACAGACGUUUGAAUAAUUUUGAAAGCACUGCUUUGCUGGAAACGCCAAGUUCUUGUUGUCUUUUAAAGU